GCCGCGAUCGCAUAACCUGGUAGUGCGCAGGAUUGCUAAUCCUGUUUCCUUCGGGAUAUCUGGGUUCAAAUCCCAGUCGCGGCG
Molecule: transfer RNA, 84 nt
Filed under: Candidatus Woesearchaeota archaeon
Lineage: Archaea; Nanobdellati; Candidatus Woesearchaeota
Description: tRNA-Ser
Rfam family: tRNA
About the family: Transfer RNA (tRNA) molecules are approximately 80 nucleotides in length.
Source: RNAcentral